ACGAACGCUGGCGGCGUGCUUAACACAUGCAAGUCGAACGGUGAAGGGAUCAGCUUGCUGGUUCUGGAUGAGUGGCGAACGGGUGAGUAACACGUGAGUAACCUGCCCCCUUCUUCUGGAUAACCGCAUGAAAGUGUGGCUAAUACGGGAUAUUCUGGGUCUGUCGCAUGAUGGGUCUGGGAAAGAUAUUGUUUCGGUGGGGGAUGGGCUCGCGGCCUAUCAGCUUGUUGGUGGGGUGAUGGCCUACCAAGGCGGUGACGGGUAGCCGGCCUGAGAGGGUGGACGGUCACACUGGGACUGAGACACGGCCCAGACUCCUACGGGAGGCAGCAGUGGGGAAUAUUGCACAAUGGGCGCAAGCCUGAUGCAGCGACGCCGCGUGAGGGAUGGAGGCCUUCGGGGUGUAAACCUCUUUCGCCAGUGAAGCAGGCCUGCUCCUUGUGGGUGGGUUGACGGUAGCUGGAUAAGAAGCGCCGGCUAACUACGUG
This 488-nucleotide ribosomal RNA is filed under the name uncultured bacterium. RNAcentral describes it as "partial 16S ribosomal RNA". It matches the Rfam family "Bacterial small subunit ribosomal RNA", at positions 29 to 507 of the family's 1533-position model. The record is from RNAcentral.